UGGGGAAUAUUGGACAAUGGGCGAAAGCCUGAUCCAGCCAUGCCGCAUGAGUGAAGAAGGCCUUUGGGUUGUAAAGCUCUUUUAGUGAGGAAGAUAAUGACGGUACUCACAGAAGAAGUCCUGGCUAACUCCGUGCCAGCAGCCGCGGUAAUACGGAGAGGGCUAGCGUUAUUCGGAAUUAUUGGGCGUAAAGGGCGCGUAGGCUGGUUAAUAAGUUAAAAGUGAAAUCCCGAGGCUUAACCUUGGAAUUGCUUUUAAAGCUAUUAAUCUAGAGAUUGAAAGAGGAUAGAGGAAUUCCUGAUGUAGAGGUAAAAUUCGUAAAUAUUAGGAGGAACACCGGUGGCGAAGGCGUCUAUCUGGUUCAAAUCUGACGCUGAAGCGCGAAGGCGUGGGGAGCAAACA
RNAcentral lists this ribosomal RNA (402 nucleotides) under uncultured bacterium. Its description in RNAcentral is "partial 16S ribosomal RNA". It matches the Rfam family "Bacterial small subunit ribosomal RNA", at positions 355 to 774 of the family's 1533-position model. The record is from RNAcentral.